UGUAAGAACAUGGCCCACUUACUAAACUGAUUUUCUGCCCUGCUGGUCGAUUCAUCAUGUGGUCCUUAACACAGGCAGGGGAGGAGGUGCCCACUGCCUGAUUAGCAAAACCAAGCCCUUAGUGAGGUGCACGAGUGUGUUUCCCAUAAGACUGGCCCUGCUAGCUCUUCUUGGUCUGUAAUGCUGGCUGAAUACAAUACCUUCAUGGUACCACUAGCCAGCCUUGCUGUCUUAUGCUUAGUUACCUUUCCUUCUUAUCUCCCUUGUCCUUGGGCAGGGGAAGAAGCUGAGACAAGUAGAAGAGUGUUUCCUCCUCAGGCCACAAAGCAGCUGUCCCUGCCACAGUCCGUGAGCUCUCCGAGCAUUCCAUCAGGUGGAUCUGAAUCACCCAAAUCCCAGCCUUCCCAAUCCCAGUCUUUCCUUGGGCCUGCUGUGCUGACAGAUGGAAGCAGUGAACCAUCGAGCUCAGUGGGGAUUCAGGGCACCUGGGAAACUGGGUGAAGGUCGGGCCCACUGGCCAUGAGCUUGGAGGACUGGUGUGUGAUGAGCUUCUGUGUUCCCACAGGCCACCGAGGCCCAGAGAGCUUGCGGAAGAUGAAGAUCUAUUGCCUCUCCUUCCGGCAGCCUUAUUCUGGCUUUGUCUUAAACGGGGUAAAGACCUUGGAAACACGUUAGGGUCCCCUGAUGGGCAACCACCAGAACCAUACCAUCGCCAGGCCUUGCUUCCAGAAGGGGAGAAUUUUGGCCGAGGACUGGUAGCUGAGGAGCAAGCCCUGUCCUCUUCAUUUCUGGAGCCUUCACUCUGCCUCACCCAGGAUUCCCGGAACAUGUUUGGCUCAUCAUCUGUGCUCAGUGAGAAGGCCCUGCUGCCCUUCCUGUCCUUGUGCUGAUGUCGUCUAAGUCUGUAGUGGCCAUAAUUUUGAAUAACCAAGUUGUCACACUGCCAGGCCUUUGUUUAUGGAAGGAAAAACCACCUGGGUGUUUCUCUCUUUGUGCACAGGGCUUGUUGACUUUGGCGAAAUGUUGGAGUGUCCUGAGAACUUAGCUCCUGAGGAAGUUGUGGAAUUGGAAAAGCAAGCUGUCCUGGCCAUCCUGCAGCAGAAAUACCUGACUGUGAUUUCCAACCCCAGGUGGAAACUGGAGCCCUUACCUAGAAAAGGAGGAAAUGAUAUAUUCCAGGUUGACAUCCCAAAGUAUCUGAUCCCUUUUGACCAGAAGGUGUGACGUGUGUGGGCUCUUGAGAUGAAUGUAGCUGAGAAACCAGCUAAAUCAUGGUACCGUUGAUUCGCCAUCUUGGUGAACGUGCAUGUAGAUCAGGUUAAGUGUGAAUUACCCCUGCGUUGUACCAUGAUUCCUACUAAAUGGCAUUCAUAGAAACGGGUUUCUGUGCUCACAAGAAGGGAAUAGGGGGUGUUGCUGGUCAUUUUGUUCCUACUAAUGUCUGGGUUGUACAAAUAAAUGUGUCAAAGUUAACUGAGAA
Molecule: long non-coding RNA, 1480 nt
Organism: Galeopterus variegatus (Sunda flying lemur)
Lineage: Eukaryota; Metazoa; Chordata; Mammalia; Dermoptera; Cynocephalidae
Exons: 3
Source: RefSeq, a predicted model, not a curated record